AUCCCUGUAGCACAAUGAAUAGCGCGUUGGACUUCUAAUUCAAAGCUCGUGGGUUCGCAUUCCACUUGGAAUG
Non-coding RNA from Trichonephila inaurata madagascariensis, 73 nucleotides. Lineage: Eukaryota; Metazoa; Arthropoda; Arachnida; Araneae; Nephilidae. The record is from the annotation of a GenBank genome assembly.